GGCGGAGUGGUAGAGUGGUUAAUACGGUAGACUCGAAACGACGAUAUCUACUGCCUUCGGGCGCGCAGGUUCGAGUCCUGUCUCCGUCG
This 89-nucleotide transfer RNA is filed under the name Hirsutella minnesotensis 3608. It matches the Rfam family "tRNA". From Rfam's summary of the family: Transfer RNA (tRNA) molecules are approximately 80 nucleotides in length. Their secondary structure includes four short double-helical elements and three loops (D, anti-codon, and T loops). Further hydrogen bonds mediate the characteristic L-shaped molecular structure. tRNAs have two regions of fundamental functional importance: the anti-codon, which is responsible for specific mRNA codon recognition, and the 3' end, to which the tRNAs corresponding amino acid is attached (by aminoacyl-tRNA synthetases). tRNAs cope with the degeneracy of the genetic code in two manners: having more than one tRNA (with a specific anti-codon) for a particular amino acid; and 'wobble' base-pairing, i.e. permitting non-standard base-pairing at the 3rd anti-codon position. The record is from Rfam by way of RNAcentral. Lineage: Eukaryota; Fungi; Ascomycota; Sordariomycetes; Hypocreales; Ophiocordycipitaceae.